GACGAACGCUGGCGGCGUGCCUAAUACAUGCAAGUUGAGCGCUGAAGGUUGGUACUUGUACCGACUGGAUGAGCAGCGAACGGGUGAGUAACGCGUGGGGAAUCUGCCUUUGAGCGGGGACAACAUUUGGAAACGAAUGCUAAUACCGCAUAAAAACUUUAAACACAAGUUUUAAGUUUGAAAGAUGCAAUUGCAUCACUCAAAGAUGAUCCCGCGUUGUAUUAGCUAGUUGGUGAGGUAAAGGCUCACCAAGGCGAUGAUACAUAGCCGACCUGAGAGGGUGAUCGGCCUCAUUGGGACUGAGACACGGCCCAAACUCCUACGGGAGGCAGCAGUAGGGAAUCUUCGGCAAUGGACGAAAGUCUGACCGAGCAACGCCGCGUGAGUGAAGAAGGGUUUCGGAUCGUAAAACUCUGUUGGUAGAGAAGAACGUUGGUGAGAGUGGAAAGCUCAUCAAGUGACGGUAACUACACAGAAAGGGACGGCUAACUACGUG
Molecule: ribosomal RNA, 496 nt
Filed under: uncultured bacterium
Lineage: Bacteria
Description: partial 16S ribosomal RNA
Rfam family: Bacterial small subunit ribosomal RNA
Source: RNAcentral